GCCCUACGGGGCGCAGCAGUCGCGAAAACUUCGCAAUGGGGGCAACCCCGACGAGGGAAUUCCAAGUGCCAGCACUUUGUGUUGGCUGUUCUCCUGUCUAAAAAACAGGAGGAGUAAGGGGCGGGUAAGACGGGUGCCAGCCGCCGCGGUAAUACCCGCGCCCCUAGUGGUGGUCGAUAUUAUUGAGCCUAAAACGUCCGUAGCCGGUCUUUUAAAUCCUUGGGUAAAUCGGGCAGCUUAACUGUCCGAAGUCCGGGGAGACUGGGAGACUUGGGACCGGGAGAGGUCAGAGGUACUUCUGGGGUAGGGGUAAAAUCCUGUAAUCCUGGAAGGACCACCGGUGGCGAAGGCGUCUGACUAGAACGGAUCCGACGGUGAGGGACGAAGCCCUGGGGCGCAAACGGGAUUAGAUACCCCGGUAGUCCAGGGUGUAAACGCUGCGGGCUUGGUGUUGGGGGUCCUUAGUGGGCGCCCAGUGCCGGAGAGAAGUUGUUAAGCCUGCUGCUUGGGGAGUAUGUCCGCAAGGAUGAAACUUAAAGGAAUUGGCGGGGGAGCACCGCAACGGGAGGAGCGUGCGGUUCAAUUGGAUUCAACGCCGAAAAACUCACCA
Molecule: ribosomal RNA, 610 nt
Filed under: uncultured archaeon
Lineage: Archaea
Description: bacterial SSU rRNA
Rfam family: Archaeal small subunit ribosomal RNA
Source: RNAcentral